RNAcentral lists this ribosomal RNA (235 nucleotides) under Alexandrium tamarense. RNAcentral describes it as "partial Bacterial large subunit ribosomal RNA". It matches the Rfam family "Bacterial large subunit ribosomal RNA", at positions 919 to 1155 of the family's 2925-position model. Lineage: Eukaryota; Dinophyceae; Gonyaulacales; Pyrocystaceae. The record is from RNAcentral.
UGGGGGCCCUUCCCGGGUACCUCACCGAACCAAACUCCGAAUACCAUUGUCCGUAUCCUGGGAGUCAGUCCGCGAGGGAUAAGCUUCGCGGUCGAGAGGGAAACAACCCAGACCACCUGCUAAGGUCCCCAAGCAAUACUCAGUCACUAAGGAAGUGAAGUUGCAAUGACAGCCAGGAUGUUGGCUUAGAAGCAGCCAUCAUUUAAAGAAAGCGUAAUAGCUCACUGAUCGAGUC